UUUUUUUUUCAAUUUUUG
Molecule: small RNA, 18 nt
Filed under: Arabidopsis thaliana (thale cress)
Lineage: Eukaryota; Viridiplantae; Streptophyta; Magnoliopsida; Brassicales; Brassicaceae
Description: ATSL052920
Source: RNAcentral